RNAcentral lists this ribosomal RNA (495 nucleotides) under uncultured bacterium. Its description in RNAcentral is "bacterial SSU rRNA". It matches the Rfam family "Bacterial small subunit ribosomal RNA", at positions 28 to 523 of the family's 1533-position model. The record is from RNAcentral.
GAUGAACGCUAGCGGGAGGCUUAACACAUGCAAGUCGAGGGGUAAAUGGUAGCAAUACUAUGAGACCGGCGGACGGGUGCGUAACGCGUAUGCAACAUACCUUGUGCAGGGGGAUAGCCCGUGGAAACGCGGAUUAAUAUUCCAUAGUCCAGCUAUAUCGCAUGGUAUAGUUGGUAAAGAUUUAUCGGCACAAGUUUGGCAUGCGUCUGAUUAGCUUGUUGGUAGGGUAACGGCCUACCAAGGCUACGAUCAGUAGGGGUUCUGAGAGGAUUAACCCCCACACUGCUACUGAGACACGGACCAGACUCCUACGGGAGGCAGCAGUGAGGAAUAUUGGUCAAUGGGCGGAAGCCUGAACCAGCCAUCCCGCGUGAAGGAAGACAGCCUUACGGGUUGUAAACUUCUUUUCUGUCAGAAGAAUAAGCUUGUCGAGACGAGUGAUGCCGGUAUGACAGGAAUAAGCAUCGGCUAACUCCGUGCCAGCAGCCGCGGUAA